GGAACUAUGGUCACUGCCUC
This 20-nucleotide non-coding RNA is filed under the name Mus musculus (house mouse). Lineage: Eukaryota; Metazoa; Chordata; Mammalia; Rodentia; Muridae. The record is from RNAcentral.